CGGAGGGAUCAUUGCUGGAACGCGCCCCUGGCGCACCCAGAAACCCUUUGUGAACUUAUACCUUACUGUUGCCUCGGCGCAGGCCGUCCUUACGGGACCCUUGGCAACAAGGAGCAGCCGGCCGGUGGCCAAGUUAACUCUUGUAUUAAUUUGUCUCUCUGAGCAUAAACAUAAAUGAAUCAAAACUUUCAACAACGGAUCUCUUGGUUCUGGCAUCGAUGAAGAACGCAGCGAAAUGCGAUAAGUAAUGUGAAUUGCAGAAUUCAGUGAAUCAUCGAAUCUUUGAACGCACAUUGCGCCCUCUGGUAUUCCGGAGGGCAUGCCUGUUCGAGCGUCAUUUCAACCCUCAAGCCUGGCUUGGUGUUGGGGCACUGCUUUACCCACAAGCAGGCCCUGAAAUAUAGUGGCGAGCUCGCCAGGACUCCGAGCGUAGUAGUUAAACCCUCGCUUUGGAAGGCCUGGCGGUGCCCUGCCGUUAAACCCCAACUUUUGAAAAUUUGACCUCGGAUCAGGUAGGAAUACCCGCUGAACUUAAGCAUAU
Molecule: ribosomal RNA, 541 nt
Filed under: fungal endophyte sp. P914A
Lineage: Eukaryota; Fungi
Description: eukaryotic LSU rRNA
Rfam family: 5.8S ribosomal RNA (bases 184-337)
Source: RNAcentral